RNAcentral lists this ribosomal RNA (251 nucleotides) under Sebacinales sp. Its description in RNAcentral is "partial small subunit ribosomal RNA". The stretch from base 1 to 155 matches the Rfam family "Group I catalytic intron", at positions 77 to 253 of the family's 253-position model. From Rfam's summary of the family: Group I catalytic introns are large self-splicing ribozymes. The record is from RNAcentral. Lineage: Eukaryota; Fungi; Basidiomycota; Agaricomycetes; Sebacinales.
GUAUGGUGAUAAGACCAGAGAUGUCACAAUGGAUAAUCCGCAGCGAAGUCCUCUUGUUGCUUAACGGCAACGGUGGAGCGCGUUCAGAGACUAGAUGUUCGUGGGCUGCCGAUUGGUGGCUUAAGGUAUAGUCCUUCCCGACUUGAAAGGGUCUGGGGUUAAAGUAGAUGUUCUGGGCCGCACGCGCGCUACACUGACAAAGCCAGCGAGUCUAUCACCUUGGCCGGAAGGUCCGGGUAAUCUUGUGAAAC